This 497-nucleotide ribosomal RNA is filed under the name uncultured bacterium. RNAcentral describes it as "partial 16S ribosomal RNA". It matches the Rfam family "Bacterial small subunit ribosomal RNA", at positions 28 to 507 of the family's 1533-position model. The record is from RNAcentral.
GAUGAACGCUGGCGGCGUGCCUAAUACAUGCAAGUCGAGCGAACAGACGAGGAGCUUGCUCCUCUGUCGUUUGCGGCGGACGGGUGUGUAACACGUGGAUACCCUACCUAUAAGACUGGGAUCACUUCGGGACACCGGAUCUUAUACCGGAUAAUAUCUUGAACCGCAUGGUUCCAUAGUGAAAGACGGUUUUGCUGUCACUUAUAGAUGGAUCCGCGCCGCAUUAGCUAGUUGGUAAGGUAACGGCUUACCAAGGCAACCAUGCGUAGCCGACCGGAGAGGGUGAUCGGCCACACGGGAACUGAGACACGGUCCAGACGCCUACGGGAGGCAGCAGUAGGGAAUCUUCCGCAAUGGGCGAAAGCCUGACGGAGCAACGCCGCGUGAGUGAAGAAGGUCUUCGGAUCGUAAAACUCUGUUAUUAGGGAAGAACAAAUGUGUAAGUAACUAUGCACGUCUUGACGGUACCUAAUCAGAAAGCCACGGCUAACUACGUG